GCCUUACACAUGCAAGUCGAACGGCAGCACGGGUGCUUGCACCUGGUGGCGAGUGGCGAACGGGUGAGUAAUACAUCGGAACAUGUCCUGUAGUGGGGGAUAGCCCGGCGAAAGCCGGAUUAAUACCGCAUACGAUCUACGGAUGAAAGCGGGGGACCUUCGGGCCUCGCGCUAUAGGGUUGGCCGAUGGCUGAUUAGCUAGUUGGUGGGGUAAAGGCCUACCAAGGCGACGAUCAGUAGCUGGUCUGAGAGGACGACCAGCCACACUGGGACUGAGACACGGCCCAGACUCCUACGGGAGGCAGCAGUGGGGAAUUUUGGACAAUGGGCGAAAGCCUGAUCCAGCAAUGCCGCGUGUGUGAAGAAGGCCUUCGGGUUGUAAAGCACUUUUGUCCGGAAAGAAAUCCUUGGCUCUAAUACAGUCGGGGGAUGACGGUACCGGAAGAAUAAGCACCGGCUAACUACGUGCCAGCAGCCGCGGUAAUACGUAGGGUGCGAGCGUUAAUCGGAAUUACUGGGCGUAAAGCGUGCGCAGGCGGUUUGCUAAGACCGAUGUGAAAUCCCCGGGCUCAACCUGGGAACUGCAUUGGUGACUGGCAGGCUAGAGUAUGGCAGAGGGGGGUAGAAUUCCACGUGUAGCAGUGAAAUGCGUAGAGAUGUGGAGGAAUACCGAUGGCGAAGGCAGCCCCCUGGGCCGAUACUGACGCUCAUGCACGAAAGCGUGGGGAG
RNAcentral lists this ribosomal RNA (729 nucleotides) under uncultured bacterium. RNAcentral's name for it is "bacterial SSU rRNA". It matches the Rfam family "Bacterial small subunit ribosomal RNA", at positions 46 to 768 of the family's 1533-position model. The record is from RNAcentral.